Molecule: non-coding RNA, 2025 nt
Organism: Prunus mume (Japanese apricot)
Lineage: Eukaryota; Viridiplantae; Streptophyta; Magnoliopsida; Rosales; Rosaceae
Source: RefSeq, a predicted model, not a curated record
UCAUUUACAUCCUAAAUUAGAAAAAGGAAAGUUUUUGUGGAAUUCAUGAUAACACGGACUUGAGCUUUCUCGAGGAAACCAGUUGGAGGGAGGUUUGAGCGCCCUUUUACUCAGAGAUGCUGACGAUGAUGAUACGGACUACAACUGCUGCCACUUCUUCUUCUUCUUAUUGCUGGAGCAGCAGAGGUAUGAAUUGUCUUCACUCUAACUCCACUUUUCUCGUUUUCGUCACCAAUUACUUUGCUUUCUUUCAUUCUCAACCUUCGAAACCGAUCAAAUCUACAAGAACCCAACUAGAGCAGCCAAAAAGAGACUUACCCAAAAUCACAAAUGUUGAGGAUGCUUUCAAUGUGUUCGAUAGAAUGCUUCAAAUGCGCCCUCUGCCUUCUGUUGUCCGUUUCAAUGAAAUCUUGGGUCAAGUUGCAAAAUUGAAACAUUACUCGGCCGUCAUCUCAUUGUGUAACCAAAUGGGUGUGUCGAGAAUUGGACAUGAUGUUUAUACCCUAACGAUUCUCAUAAAUUGUUAGUCAUCUAAACCAAAUGCGGUUUAGUUUAUCUGUAUUGGGAAAAUUCUUCAAACUUGGUCUUGAACCAGAUGUCUGUACCUUCACCACUCUAAUCAACGGCUUUCUUCUUGAGAAUAGAGUGGCGGAGGCGGCUGGAAUUUUCAACAAAAUGAUGAGGGGAGGUAAUUGUCAGCCUAAUGUGGUUACUUUUGGCACAAUAAUAAAGGGCUUUUGCAUGACAGGUAACAAUAGGCCUGCUGUUCAAUUGCUUACGAAGAUGGAGGAAGGAGCUUGCAAGCCUAACCUAGUUGUCUAUAACACAAUCAUCGACAGUCUUUGUAAGGAUAAACUAGUUGAUGAUGCAUUAAACCUCUUCUCAGAAAUGAUGUGCAAGGGUAUUGCUCCAGAUGUCAUUACCUAUACAUCCUUGAUUCAUGGAGUUUGCAAACUAGGUGAGUGGAAAGAAGCUACAAGGUUGUUGAAUGAAAUGGUGAGUAAAAACAUCUUUCCAAAUGUGUGCACGUUCAAUAUCUUGGUAGACACACUUUGUAAGGAGAGGAUGGUCUUGGAAGCAGAAGGUGUGGUAGAAAUGAUGAUUCAAAGAGGUAUUGAGCCUGAUACGGUUACGUACAAUUCUCUUAUGGAUGGUUACUGUUUGCGAGGAGAAAUGAGCAAGGCUAGAAAAGUUUGUAAACUAAUGCUUAGCAAGGGAAUCGAUGGUUGAUGUUGUUAGUUACAACACAUUGAUAAAUGGAUAUUGUAAGCAUAAGAUGAUGGAUGAGGCCAUGAGGCUACUUCGAGAAAUGACUUGUAAGGGACUGGUUCCAAAUGUCGUUACUUAUAGCACUCUUGUCGACGGUUGUUGCAAAGAGGGGAAAUUAGGUGAUGCACAACAGUUGUUCUCAGAGAUGCAAGCUUGUGGUCAACUUCCAGAUGUUCAAACUUAUGCUAUUCUACUGGAUGGCCUGUGUAAAAACCGACAACUUUCUACAGCAAUCCAACUGUUUAAAGAGAUGGAAGGCAAGAAGUUGGAUGCAGAUAUUGUGAUUUACACUAUUCUUAUUGAAGGUUUGUGCAUAGCUGAAAAAAUUGAAUCUGCAAGGGAACUCUUUUGUGGUUUAUCAUCAAGAGGGCUUCAACCAAAUGUAAGGACAUAUAACAUAAUGAUUAAUGGACUCUGUAUUGGGGGCCGAACAAGUGAAGCAGAAAAGCUGCUUAUCGAAAUGGAAGAGAAAGGUUGUUCUCCAGAUGGUUGGACCUACAACGUAAUUAUUCGAGGGUUUAUCAAUAACAAUGAGACAGUAAGGACGAUGGAACUUAUUCAACAAAUGGUGGAGAAGGGUUUCUCUGCAGAUGCUUCAACUACAAAAUUGAUAAUUGAUCUAUUGUGUAAAGAUAAAGUAGAUCCUGCAUUGUUGCCAUUGAUGCAAAAAGAGAAUUAUGAACUGAAUUUGCCUCAGUUAAAGUUGAACAGAUCUUCUGACCAUCCCAAUAAACAUUGAAGCUCUUCCACCUCUGG